Molecule: transfer RNA, 67 nt
Filed under: Turritella bacillum
Lineage: Eukaryota; Metazoa; Mollusca; Gastropoda; Turritellidae
Description: tRNA-Trp
Source: RNAcentral
CAAGACUUAGGGUGUUGUUCCCUAUGUUAAGCUUUGAAGGCUUAUAGUUUCUUUAACUUAAAGUCUU